UCGGAACUCGCGGCGGGGCUGCUGGGUCUUCCAGGAGCGCGCUUGAGCGGACGCUGCCUACCGGUGGCCGGGCGGGAUGUAACCCGCUGCUGAGCUGGCAGCUCUGUGUCGCUAGGCUUCGGCCCGGCCGCCGCCGCACAUAAGCUGCGAGGAGGAGCUUUACGACUUCCCGGUCUUCGGGGCCGGGCGCAGCAAGGGCCAGACUCUGCGCUAGCAGGCGCUGCGCGCCAACCGGCCGGCACCUGUCGCAGAAGGUGCAACCGAUCGCACUGUCGCGCCGAAGCUCCUCAAUGGCCAGCGCCAGCUGCAGCCCCGGCCGCCCACUCGCCUCACCUGAGCCUGGGCGAAUCUGGAUUGGGAAAGUUGACAUUAAUCAACUCAUUAUUCCUCCCAGAUUUGUAUUCUCCAGAGUAUCCGGGUCCUUCUCAGAGAAUUAAAAAGCCUGUACAGGUCUAGAUAUUGGUAUUUUUAAUUGAUGAUAAGCUGGAAUAAUAUUAAUACACACAAAGCACGUGUUGUAACUUUUAUUAUGCUUCCUUAGAGGAGCUUGAAAAAUCACAUUUGAGAAGAGGAUUGGAUCCUAGCCAUAACAUAAAUAUAAGGGU
Molecule: long non-coding RNA, 605 nt
Organism: Homo sapiens (human)
Lineage: Eukaryota; Metazoa; Chordata; Mammalia; Primates; Hominidae
Source: Ensembl